CGGCAGGCCUAACACAUGCAAGUCGAGCGGUAGCACAGAGAGCUUGCUCUCGGGUGACGAGCGGCGGACGGGUGAGUAAUGUCUGGGAAACUGCCUGAUGGAGGGGGAUAACUACUGGAAACGGUAGCUAAUACCGCAUAACGUCGCAAGACCAAAGUGGGGGACCUUCGGGCCUCAUGCCAUCACAUGUGCCCAGAUGGGAUUAGCUAGUAGGUGGGGUAACGGCUCACCUAGGCGACGAUCCCUAGCUGGUCUGAGAGGAUGACCAGCCACACUGGAACUGAGACACGGUCCAGACUCCUACGGGAGGCAGCAGUGGGGAAUAUUGCACAAUGGGCGCAAGCCUGAUGCAGCCAUGCCGCGUGUGUGAAGAAGGCCUUCGGGUUGUAAAGCACUUUCAGCGGGGAGGAAGGCGAUAAGGUUAAUAACCUUGUCGAUUGACGUUACCCGCACAAAAAGCACCGGCUAACUCCGUGCCAGCAGCCGCGGUAAUACAGAGGGUGCAAGCGUUAAUCGGAAUUACUGGGCGUAAAGCGCACGCAGGCGGUCUGUCAAGUCUGAUGUGAAAUCCCCGGGCUCAACCUGGGAACUGCAUUCGAAACUGGCAGGCUAUAGUCUUGUAUAGGGGGGUAGAAUUCCACGUGUAGCGGUGAAAUGCGUAGAGAUCUGGAGGAAUACCGGUGGCGAAGGCGGCCCCCUGGACAAAGACUGACGCUCAGGUGCGAAAGCGUGGGGAGCAAACAGGAUUAGAUACCCUGGUAGUCCACGCCGUAAACGAUGUCGAUUUGGAGGUUGUGCCCUUGAGGCGUGGCUUCCGGAGCUAACGCGUUAAAUCGACCGCCUGGGGAGUACGGCCGCAAGGUUAAAACUCAAAUGAAUUGACGGGGGCCCGCACAAGCGGUGGAGCAUGUGGUUUAAUUCGAUGCAACGCGAAGAACCUUACCUGGUCUUGACAUCCACAGAACUUUCCAGAGAUGGAUUGGUGCCUUCGGGAACUGUGAGACAGGUGCUGC
RNAcentral lists this ribosomal RNA (1013 nucleotides) under Klebsiella pneumoniae. RNAcentral describes it as "bacterial SSU rRNA". It matches the Rfam family "Bacterial small subunit ribosomal RNA", at positions 40 to 1044 of the family's 1533-position model. The record is from RNAcentral. Lineage: Bacteria; Pseudomonadati; Pseudomonadota; Gammaproteobacteria; Enterobacterales; Enterobacteriaceae.